CAAAGAAGAAAGGCAACCAUCUACAUGCUGUGAUUUCAGGUGCUACUUUCUUUAAGAUUCUUACCUGCUCAGUGAUUCCUGCUACACUUUGAAGAGAAGGACAAAACAGACUUUGAGGUCAAAUGAUUUCUACUGAGGCAAGUUGGUGAAGAAAAACAAGUUCUCAAUCUCACUAUUUACUCUUCUUCAGAAUAGUAAAGAUUUGAGGUGGAAUCAUAAAACAGCAGAAGAAAUCCAUCGACUCACAGAAAGAGAAGAAACGAACCAAUCCUGUCAACGAAUUGGGGACCACCAUCCUAGCCCCAGGUAAAAGCAGCAGCCUGCCAUAUGAAUGGAUUGAGCAAGGAGAAAGGGCCUCACAACGAAU
Non-coding RNA from Phascolarctos cinereus (koala), 367 nucleotides. Lineage: Eukaryota; Metazoa; Chordata; Mammalia; Diprotodontia; Phascolarctidae. The record is from RefSeq and is a predicted model, not a curated record.